Long non-coding RNA from Microtus ochrogaster (prairie vole), 490 nucleotides. RefSeq lists it as uncharacterized. The transcript has 4 exons. The record is from RefSeq and is a predicted model, not a curated record. Lineage: Eukaryota; Metazoa; Chordata; Mammalia; Rodentia; Cricetidae.
GAGAAGGGGCAGGCAGUGAGGUUUGUUCUGGCACAGGGGGCUGUGGUGUGAACUCUCACAACCUUUCUACGCUCCUCGUCUACAUGACGACCUGACCCCACUUCUCAACCAUCUCCUGAACUUACCCUCCCUAUUCCGCGUGAGAAACCAAGCUAACGAGGCCUAGCUUAAGACAUCUGGAAAUGCAACCUGAAUUCAAGAAAAAUCAGCACUUUAGUUCUUGCAGCUAAACCAGCAUCAGUGAUGAGGGAAUGGAAAUAAAAAAGGACUUCAGAGAAAAGGGAAGCAAGCCCUUGGAAUAAGGCGUGAAUGUGGAGAACAGACAAAUCAUCUUUAGCACAUGGGCUGCUCCACUCAUCAGGGAACAGAUUCCAGGUCCUAAAUAAAGCCCCAGAGAGCACACAUGGGAAGUUCCAGCUUGUGCAUAAAACAACAAAGGCGCCAGGACCUAGAGUCAUCAACAGCCACUCAGGUGACUUGGUUUCUGAGU